Molecule: ribosomal RNA, 104 nt
Filed under: Erinaceus europaeus (western European hedgehog)
Lineage: Eukaryota; Metazoa; Chordata; Mammalia; Eulipotyphla; Erinaceidae
Source: RNAcentral
GUCUAGGGCCAUAGCACUCUGAAUACGCCCAAUCUUGUCUGAAGCUAAGCAGGGUCGGGUCUGUUUAGUACUUGGAUGGGAGAAUGUGGGGUCAGCUCCCCACC